GACGAACGCUGGCGGUGUGCUUAACACAUGCAAGUCGAACGGAAAGGCCCUGCUUUUGUGGGGUGCUCGAGUGGCGAACGGGUGAGUAACACGUGAGUAACCUGCCCUUGACUUUGGGAGAACUUCAGGAAACUGGGGCUAAUACCGGAUAGGAGUUCCUGCUGCAUGGUGGGGGUUGGAAAGUUUCGGCGGUUGGGGAUGGACUCGCGGCUUAUCAGCUUGUUGGUGGGGGAGUGGCUUACCAAGGCUUUGACGGGUAGCCGGCCUGGGAGGGUGACCGGCCACAUUGGGCCUGGGAUACGGCCCAGACUCCUCCGGGAGGAAGCGGUGGGGAAUAUUGCACAAUGGGCGGAAGCCUGAUGCAGCAACGCCGCGUGCGGGAUGACGGCCUUCGGGUUGUAAACCGCUUUCGCCUGUGACGAAGCGUUAGUGACGGUAAUGGGUAAAGAAGCACCGGCUAACUACGUG
RNAcentral lists this ribosomal RNA (468 nucleotides) under uncultured bacterium. RNAcentral's name for it is "partial 16S ribosomal RNA". It matches the Rfam family "Bacterial small subunit ribosomal RNA", at positions 28 to 507 of the family's 1533-position model. The record is from RNAcentral.